RNAcentral lists this ribosomal RNA (530 nucleotides) under uncultured bacterium. Its description in RNAcentral is "bacterial SSU rRNA". It matches the Rfam family "Bacterial small subunit ribosomal RNA", at positions 153 to 698 of the family's 1533-position model. The record is from RNAcentral.
GGAAACGGAGCUAAUACCUCAUACUCCUUUUACCUUAAUGGUAAUUGGGAAAUGUUUUUUCGCUAAAGGAUGAGACUAUAUGGUAUCAGGUAGUUGGUGGGGUAAGACCCCACCAAGCCAAUGACGCCUAGCUGGUGCUGAGAGGAUGAUCAGCCCACACUGGACCUGAGACACGGUCCAGACUCCCUACGGGAGGCACGAGUGGGGAAUAUUGCACAAUGGAGGAAACUCUGAUGCAGCAACGCCGCGUGGAGGAUGACACAUUUCGGUGCGUAAACUCCUUUUAUAUGGGAAGAUAAUGACGGUACCAUAUGAAUAAGCACCGGCUAACUCCGUGCCAGCAGCCGCGGUAAUACGGAGGGUGCAAGCGUUACUCGGAAUCACUGGGCGUAAAGCGCGCGCAGGGCGGCUAAUUUAAGUUGGAUGUGAAAGCCUACGGCUCAACCGUAGAGCUGCAUCCAAAACUAUUUAGCUAGAGUGUGGGAGAGGAAGAUGGAAUUAGUUGUGUAGGGGUAAAAUCCGUAGAGAUA